This 236-nucleotide ribosomal RNA is filed under the name uncultured bacterium. RNAcentral describes it as "partial 16S ribosomal RNA". It matches the Rfam family "Bacterial small subunit ribosomal RNA", at positions 118 to 347 of the family's 1533-position model. The record is from RNAcentral.
UGAAGAAUUUGUCCAACGGCGGGGGAUAGCCGGCCCAACGGCCGGGUAAUACCGCGUACGACCCUCGGGGGGCAUCGCCUGAAGGUGAAAGCCGCAAGGCGCCGAUGGAGAACUUCGCGGCCUAUCAGCUAGUUGGUGAGGUCAUGGCUCACCAAGGCGACGACGGGUAGCUGGUCCGAGAGAAUGACCAGCCACAUUGGGACUGAGACACGGCCCAGACCUCCGUACGGGAGCAG